RNAcentral lists this long non-coding RNA (1778 nucleotides) under Homo sapiens (human). Its description in RNAcentral is "HSALNT0049153". Lineage: Eukaryota; Metazoa; Chordata; Mammalia; Primates; Hominidae. The record is from RNAcentral.
CUCAGCAGAGGCGCUCGGGCAGAUUCCUGUCCUGUGCUGCAGCCUCUCACCUGAAUCCCAGAGCUCUUGUGAAGUUACUUUCAUCUAUGGAUGGUUAUUAAAUUGGUGUUUUCAGCUUACAGUGAAAGAUCUUCAGAACACCAAUUCAGUUGCCUUCAGGGUUAAACCAUAAUAUCAACACAAAAUGGAUCAAGAGCCAGUCAUCCUAAAAAGACCACAUGCAUGGCCCCUGAUCUAGCAAAAGUAGUCACAAAUGCAGCUGAAUGUGUGGAAACCUCUAAGAGAAAAUGUGUGAAUCACAGAAAGAGUGGCUCCAGUCAUGGAACGUGGAGAAAGCUGCCACAGAAGCAAAGGCUGCCUAUGCUCAUGCCAGCACUGACAGGGAGAACUCUCCGCCCUCUACCUUGGGUAUUCUGGCUCCAAUGACAGGGCUGUCUCUGGAAUGAAGGUAGAAGCAGGGGCCAAACUAAAUGAACUUCAAAUACCCUGAUCUAACUAGCUACUCUAAACCACUGUGAGAUGGAUUGGUGGCAACUUACACUUCCAAUUCAUCCAAUUCCUUUCCCUAUGAUUCCCUCACUCACAAAAACCUGCUCAUUACCAUUGGCCUCCCUUAUAGAUCUAUGUACAGGAACAGUUGGGGGCUGUUUGGGGAAUGUGCUUUGGCUCUUUUGAUAGUUCCCAUUCUAUCAGUGGGGCUUGGGUAAUAUGAAUCUGCAACUGACCGGGGCUGGGGAGAUGUUACUCUCAGAUGGUUGGGUUUAUCCUAUUUAUGAAUCCACAGGCCCAAAGGUUAAAUGGUGGACCAAUUAAAUUUACCAAAGGCAGGCAUGUUUCCCCGUGAGGUGUCCUGGCAACAGGCGGCCCUCCUGGACAUGCCACAGCAUGUCAGGGGCUGCUUUUCAUGACUGAAUCCGCUCCACCGCACCCCUCUGCAGGCUCCUUCCCCACUCACCUUGUCCUUUUUCUUUCCUGCUUUCACUGGGCGCUCCCUUUCUCUGUCCACAGCUAGCUUUAAGUUUUUAAGUUCCUGUCUCAUCAACUCAUCAACCUAGGAGAAUACAAAACAUACUACUUUUAAGUCACUUUGCAUGUCUUGUGUUUUGUUUGUGAAGUUUAAAAAUCCCUUAAAUUAUGGGGUAGGUCAUUAGUAGGAAAUUGUAAAGAAGCACAAUGGUUGAAGUAAAUGAUUUGCUGUUACUACACCAUAAACGUAGCUGUACCUGUAUCCUGAUCUCUGACUGUAAUUCUUUUCGUUUCUCCUCUUUGAUCAGUUCUGGAUCAUAGUCCUGAGAGAAAUUCCAAGACUCAUCUUUUUUCAUCCAGAUUUCUACACUCCAGAAGGGUAAAGAAAAAGAAAAAGAAAAAAUUUUAAAAAGAUAUAGGUUAAUGAAAUUUUAAAAAGACGUAGGUUAAUUGUAAGUUAUUGCAAUAUAAACAUAAGCCUAACUUUAUAUGUUAUUGCAUAGGAUAAAAGUUUGAAUAAAAUAAGCUGGACAGAUGAGAUUCAUAUAUGUGCUUGUAAAUGCACUAAAAAAAGAAAAAAAACUGCUGAUGUAAAAAUAUUGAGUUUUAGUUUACUCAAUAUUUUUUAAGUGUGAUACAAUAGUAUUCUACUGUAUUAUUAUAAUCAUGUAAAAACAAUAUGUUAAUGCUGGGAUUAUACAAUCACAGAUGACCUUUUUUGUAAUGUUUUAUCUUACUUUUUUUCUUCAAAUGAUUCACUAAAAUACGAAAGAUUUUGUUGCCUGUUGAACUCUCCAGGAAUUAUCCCUUGC